CAAACAAUCCGGGGGUCAUGGCGGACAAGCAACUCAACACCAGCUCCCAGUGUGAUGCUGUGUCAAAAAAGGCUAAUGCGUAAACAGUGGAGUAGUGAGUAGCAAUAGAUUCUCUCACCUGGAAGAAUCCAGAGGCCUGCAGGGCAGAUGUACAUUUGUAGUCAGGCAUUGCCCGAUAUGCGACAGCGUUUUGCUCAACUGCGCAAACCGGUUGGCUCAACAGCUUUAGGCCCACAUACAAAGCCUGUCACCUGCUCCAAUCCAAGAGCUGCAUGGAUCUUUUAAAUCUUCAAUUGCUGCUGUUCUAAACUCUAUUAAGAACAUGAGAGAACGAAGAAAUGAAGAUUUACCGUCUUUUCAAACCCCCCGUUGAUUCGAGGCAGAGGCAUACGGGAUCCUGCCAAAGAAACCACCUCAUGGGCCUCUCCUUCAAGGUGCUUCCCUUCUCUUUGGCUGCUGAACCACAACUAGAAUUCUAAACCUGCUGUUUCCAACCUUCUCUCAAGAAGCCUAGCUUGGAACCUCCACACUUGGUGCUGUCGAUCUUCCUCAGCAAGGGCCAGCAGCUGGGACUCUUUGGGCAGGGGAGGUAUCCCAGAUGAGUUUUUGCAAGCCUUCAGGACCUCUGGAGAGGCCCCACACACCUGGGAGCCAAACGCACCCAUGACCUGUGGCCCUGGGCUACGAAGAAUCUGCACAUGAAUCACCACAGCACAAGGUAUUUCAUACUGCUGAUCUUGGAAAGUCUACAUGGGAAGGGUAGAGGCUCCUCUGGGAUGUGACGCCACCCUCACCCUGCACCAGGAAAAUGGUAACCGCUAUUAACCUGAUGUGCAGUGGGGAGGCACUGACAGGAAAAGCAGUGUGACCAACAGGAAGCAUGGGGUCCACACCAACCACUGACCAGUGCAACACAGCCCCAACCCCUGCCUGGCAGGGAAAGUCCAGGGCUACCAUGCCAACUGCUGACGAGUGCAUGAUGACCCUGAGGGCCUGUGACCCAGAACGCACUCACUGUGAAUGCAUCAUGCCUGGGACAAUCCCCUUGUGCCAAUGUCGCUGGUUUGCUUCCAGCAUAACGAGGUGUUCAGACAUUAAGCCCGGACAGCAUAUCUAGUCCCACAGAGGGGGAAAUUCACGUCACCUAGAGC
Molecule: long non-coding RNA, 1151 nt
Organism: Mauremys reevesii (Reeves's turtle)
Lineage: Eukaryota; Metazoa; Chordata; Testudines; Geoemydidae
Exons: 5
Source: RefSeq, a predicted model, not a curated record